CCUACGGGGUGCAGCAGUGAGGAAUAUUGGUCAAUGGGCGCGAGCCUGAACCAGUCAAGUCGCGUGAGGGAAGACGGUCCUAUGGAUUGUAAACCUCUUUUGUCGGGGAGCAAAAGACGCCACGCGUGGCGUUCCGAGAGUACCCGACGAACAAGCAUCGGCUAACUCCGUGCCAGCAGCCGCGGUAAUACGGAGGAUGCGAGCGUUAUCCGGAUUUAUUGGGUUUAAAGGGUGCGCAGGCGGAAGAUCAAGUCAGCGGUAAAAUUGAGAGGCUCAACCUCUUCGAGCCGUUGAAACUGGUGUUCUUGAGUGAGUGAGAAGUAGGCGGAAUGCGUGGUGUAGCGGUGAAAUGCAUAGAUAUCACGCAGAACUCCGAUUGCGAAGGCAGCAUACCGGAGCUCAACUGACGCUCAUGCACGAAAGUGUGGGUAUCGAACAGGAUUAGAUACCCCAGUAGUC
RNAcentral lists this ribosomal RNA (459 nucleotides) under uncultured bacterium. RNAcentral describes it as "partial 16S ribosomal RNA". It matches the Rfam family "Bacterial small subunit ribosomal RNA", at positions 338 to 795 of the family's 1533-position model. The record is from RNAcentral.